CCGGGCUCUGCCUAGCAGGGUAAAGCUUGGUGAAACGAACUUUGAAGCCUCAGAAGAAAGACCUAGGCAGAUUUGCUGAAGCCUCAAUUGUUCUUAACAGUCUGAGGAUAGCUAGCAACCUACAAGCAGAAACAAAUGCGAAGACCACCUGAUCUUAACAAGCCUUCUCCCUCUGCCAUGGGUAACAGAAGUGGUACAAGAAGAGGAAAGGCCCUUCACCUCAUGUGAUCAAGCACCAUAUGGAAGGGGACAAGGAAAUUAGAACAACGUCGCUCAGAACGCUCCAGGGGCGAAUUCUUGCCAGGUACCAUUUCUCACAAGGAGGGAAGAGAGAUGCACG
Molecule: long non-coding RNA, 340 nt
Organism: Dromaius novaehollandiae (emu)
Lineage: Eukaryota; Metazoa; Chordata; Aves; Casuariiformes; Dromaiidae
Exons: 4
Source: RefSeq, a predicted model, not a curated record